Molecule: ribosomal RNA, 443 nt
Filed under: uncultured bacterium
Lineage: Bacteria
Description: partial 16S ribosomal RNA
Rfam family: Bacterial small subunit ribosomal RNA
Source: RNAcentral
CCUACGGGUGGCUGCAGUGGGGAAUAUUGCACAAUGGGCGAAAGCCUGAUGCAGCAACGCCGCGUGAAGGAAGAAGGGUUUCGGCUCGUAAACUUCUAUCAACAGGGACGAAAGAAAUGACGGUCCCUGAAUAAGAAGCCCCGGCUAACUACGUGCCAGCAGCCGCGGUAAUACGUAGGUGGCAAGCGUUGUCCGGAUUUACUGGGUGUAAAGGGCGUGUAGCCGGGUUGACAAGUCAGAUGUGAAAUCCUGCGGCUUAACCGCAGAACUGCAUUUGAAACUGUUGAUCUUGAGUACUGGAGAGGCAGAUGGAAUUCCUAGUGUAGCGGUGAAAUGCGUAGAUAUUAGGAGGAACACCAGUGGCGAAGGCGGUCUGCUGGACAGCAACUGACGGUGAGGCGCGAAAGCGUGGGGAGCAAACAGGAUUAGAUACCCGUGUAGUC